This 72-nucleotide transfer RNA is filed under the name Toxocara canis (dog roundworm). It matches the Rfam family "tRNA". From Rfam's summary of the family: Transfer RNA (tRNA) molecules are approximately 80 nucleotides in length. Lineage: Eukaryota; Metazoa; Nematoda; Chromadorea; Rhabditida; Toxocaridae. The record is from Rfam by way of RNAcentral.
GGUUCUGUAGCUCAGUGGUAGAGCUCCUGCUUCGUAUGCAGGAAGACCUGGGUACGACUUCCGGCUGCUUCC